GCCCGGAGUCCACUAUCUCCGCAAGAACCGCCCCCACGCGGACCGGAAGCGGCGGUGCCAAAAGUGACGUCAGUUCCCGCCCGGCGCAAGACGUCACUAUUCUGCGCCGCGCCGGUCGUGCGCCGACGUGCGUCUCCCUCGGACUUUGCAGGAGCAGCCUCGUGCUUCCUUGAAAUCCCUAAUCUCUGCGAAGUCAAACUCUUAGUCCUCAUUUUAUUGCUUUACUUCACACUGAAGUAACCCAAGUUUUACUUUAAGCCCGUCACAUGUCUCAGUGAAUUCUAAAGCUUUACACAAAGUACAACCAAUGGUAUCCUGGCACUUGCUGUGUGAUGGGAUCGAUGCAAUCCUCUUCAAAUUGUGUUCUCAGAUGCCCGCCUUUUCCAGCUCCAAUGUAUCCUACGUACGUCUGCUGGACACUCCUCCCAACCCCACCAAUUUCAUAACUGCCUUUCUGUGAUUUAACAACCUUUAAUUCACUACUAAACUCAAAUACUGUUCAAUCAAGUUUUCGUUUUGUAUCAAGACUUUUCUCUGCUUAUGUGGCAAGUCUGCUGUCCAUACUGUAUUUCCAGUAUGCUAGGUUUAUUCUGGAGAAACUUAGUUUUAAUAUUACUUUCCCCUGCCUAGGGCACUCUGUCACUUUUCUCUCAGAAGCAAACUCCACUCCUUUAUGAAAUCUUCUCUGGCCUCAGAAUUCCUUACCUUCUGAAUACUAAUGACACUGAAACUGCCUUCAUGUUAAAUAAUAAACAAGAUGGAACAAAGGGAGAAUACCUGCUUCCAAGACCUAUUUGUAUUUCUUCCCUAGGACUAGAAAAAUGUAUGUAAGGACUUUGUACUGGCUGCUGCUUUCUUUCUAAUUAGGUAGCCAGUGUUCACUGGUUUACCAGCAGGAAAAAAAGGAAUGUGAGGAGCCCUCUGGCAACUGAGUAGGGCCCUUGGCCUAUGGAGACAUUGCAACUGUUUGUGCUGGAGCAGUGUCAACUCUGAAAUGGAACAGUAGUAUCAGGUGAUGACUAGCCUAUGAAAUCAUAGUUGUCUCCACUUAGACAUGAUUAAUACCAGCAACCAAAAACAUAAUGUCUUCUUAUACUCAUUAAUGUUGUCCUAGUAACGUGUACUUCAUAAUUAAGUUCAAUUAACAUCAAUAACAAAUACAUCAACAAUUGACUAAUUUUUAUGCAUACAAUGAAUGACACUCAAAAAAAAAAAAGCAAUAAAAU
Molecule: long non-coding RNA, 1226 nt
Organism: Neofelis nebulosa (Clouded leopard)
Lineage: Eukaryota; Metazoa; Chordata; Mammalia; Carnivora; Felidae
Exons: 2
Source: RefSeq, a predicted model, not a curated record